Molecule: ribosomal RNA, 252 nt
Filed under: uncultured bacterium
Lineage: Bacteria
Description: partial 16S ribosomal RNA
Rfam family: Bacterial small subunit ribosomal RNA
Source: RNAcentral
UACGUAGGUCCCGAGCGUUGUCCGGAUUUAUUGGUCGUAAAGCGAGCGCAGGUGGUUUAUUAAGUCUGGUGUAAAAGGCAGUGGCUCAACCAUUGUAUGCAUUGGAAACUGGUAGACUUGAGUGCAGGAGAGGAGAGUGGAAUUCCAUGUGUAGCGGUGAAAUGCGUAGAUAUAUGGAGGAACACCGGUGGCGAAAGCGGCUCUCUGGCCUGUAACUGACACUGAGGCUCGAAAGCGUGGGGAGCAAACAGG